AACGAACGCUGGCGGCGUGCCUAACACAUGCAAGUCGUGCGAGAAAGUUCCUUCGGGAGCGAGUAAAGCGGCACACGGGUGAGUAACACGUAGGUAACCUGCCCCCCAGUCUGGAACAACUAGAGGAAACUCUAGCUAAUGCCGGAUGAGACCACGAUCCCUUCGGGGGUUGCGGCCAAAGAUGGCCUCUACUUGUAAGCUAUCGCUGAGGGAUGGGCCUGCGGCCAUUAGCUUGUUGGUGAGGUAACGGCUCACCAAGGCUGUGAUGGCUAGGGGACCUGAGAGGGUGACCCCCCCACACUGGGACUGAGACACGGCCCAGACUCCUACGGGAGGC
RNAcentral lists this ribosomal RNA (337 nucleotides) under uncultured bacterium. RNAcentral describes it as "bacterial SSU rRNA". It matches the Rfam family "Bacterial small subunit ribosomal RNA", at positions 29 to 349 of the family's 1533-position model. The record is from RNAcentral.